GACGAACGCUGGCGGCGUGCUUAACACAUGCAAGUCGAACGAAGUGGCGAACGGGUGAGUAACGCGUAAUCAACCUGCCCUUCAGAGGGGGACAACAGUUGGAAACGACUGCUAAUACCGCAUACUGAAGGAGGGGAUUGCGUCUGAUUAGCUAGUUGGAGGGGUAACGGCCCACCAAGGCGAUGAUCAGUAGCCGGUCUUGGGGGAUGAAAGGCCCAAAUGGGAAUGAGAACCGGCCCAGACUCCUACGGGAGGCAGCAGGGGGGAAACUUCCGCAAUGGACGAAAGUCUUACGAAGCAACGCCGGGUGGGUGAUGACGGCCUUCGGGUUGUAAAGCUCUGUUAAUCGGGACGCGGUACCGGAAUAGAAAGCCACGGCUAACUACGUGCCAGCAGCCGCGGUAAUAC
This 408-nucleotide ribosomal RNA is filed under the name uncultured bacterium. RNAcentral's name for it is "partial 16S ribosomal RNA". It matches the Rfam family "Bacterial small subunit ribosomal RNA", at positions 28 to 526 of the family's 1533-position model. The record is from RNAcentral.